RNAcentral lists this ribosomal RNA (287 nucleotides) under Salmonella enterica subsp. enterica serovar Stanley. RNAcentral describes it as "partial 16S ribosomal RNA". It matches the Rfam family "Bacterial small subunit ribosomal RNA", at positions 1 to 284 of the family's 1533-position model. The record is from RNAcentral. Lineage: Bacteria; Pseudomonadati; Pseudomonadota; Gammaproteobacteria; Enterobacterales; Enterobacteriaceae.
AAAUUGAAGAGUUUGAUCAUGGCUCAGAUUGAACGCUGGCGGCAGGCCUAACACAUGCAAGUCGAACGGUAACAGGAAGCAGCUUGCUGCUUCGCUGACAAGUGGCGGACGGGUGAGUAAUGUCUGGGAAACUGCCUGAUGGAGGGGGAUAACUACUGGAAACGGUGGCUAAUACCGCAUGACGUCGCAAGACCAAAGAGGGGGACCUUCGGGCCUCUUGCCAUCAGAUGUGCCCAGAUGGGAUUAGCUUGUUGGUGAGGUAACGGCUCACCAAGGCGACGAUCCCU